GACGAACGCUGGCGGCGUGCUUAACACAUGCAAGUCGAACGAUGAAGCGGUGCUUGUUGCGUGGAUGAGUAGCGAACGGGUGAGUAAUACGUAAGUGACCUACCUUUGACUCUGGAAUAAGCCUGGUAAACUGGGUCUAAUACCGGAUACGACAAAUUUCUGCAUGGGGUGUUGGGGGCAAGAGUGAUGGAGUGGUUUUAGAUGGGCUCACGGCCUAUCGGCUGGUUGGGGAGGUAAUGGCUUACCAAGGCGACGACGGAUAGCCGGCAGGGGAGCUUGACCAGCCACCAGGGGCCUGAGACACGGACCAGUCGCCAAUGGGAGGCAACGGGGGGGAACAUUACACAGUGGGCGCGAGCCUAAUACAGCGACGCCGCGGUAGGGAUGACCGCCUUCGGGUUGUAAACCUAUGUUAGCAUAGAAGAAGCGAAAGUGACGGUAGCUGCAGAGAAAGCGCCGGCUAACUACGUG
This 471-nucleotide ribosomal RNA is filed under the name uncultured bacterium. RNAcentral's name for it is "partial 16S ribosomal RNA". It matches the Rfam family "Bacterial small subunit ribosomal RNA", at positions 28 to 507 of the family's 1533-position model. The record is from RNAcentral.